CCUACGGGAGGCAGCAGUAGGGAAUCUUCCGCAAUGGACGAAAGUCUGACGGAGCAACGCCGCGUGAACGAUGAAGGCCUUCGGGUCGUAAAGUUCUGUUGUUAGGGAAGAACAAGUGCUAGUUAAAUAAGCUGGCACCUUGACGGUACCUAACCAGAAAGCCACGGCUAACUACGUGCCAGCAGCCGCGGUAAUACGUAGGUGGCAAGCGUUGUCCGGAAUUAUUGGGCGUAAAGCGCGCGCAGGCGGUUUCUUAAGUCUGAUGUGAAAGCCCCCGGCUCAACCGGGGAGGGUCAUUGGAAACUGGGAAACUUGAGUGCAGAAGAGGAAAGUGGAAUUCCAAGUGUAGCGGUGAAAUGCGUAGAGAUUUGGAGGAACACCAGUGGCGAAGGCGACUUUCUGGUCUGUAACUGACGCUGAGGCGCGAAAGCGUGGGGAGCAAACAGGAUUAGAUACCCUGGUAGUCCACGCUGUAAACGAUGAGUGCUAAGUGUUAGAGGGUUUCCGCCCUUUAGUGCUGAAGUUAACGCAUUAAGCACUCCGCCUGGGGAGUACGGUCGCAAGACUGAAACUCAAAGGAAUUGACGG
RNAcentral lists this ribosomal RNA (588 nucleotides) under uncultured bacterium. RNAcentral describes it as "bacterial SSU rRNA". It matches the Rfam family "Bacterial small subunit ribosomal RNA", at positions 338 to 916 of the family's 1533-position model. The record is from RNAcentral.